Molecule: microRNA precursor, 98 nt
Filed under: Pelobates cultripes (western spadefoot toad)
Lineage: Eukaryota; Metazoa; Chordata; Amphibia; Anura; Pelobatidae
Source: RNAcentral
CCCUCCCUCUCAGAUCCUCCCCCCUCCUGGACAGCAUCCAUUUUGAAGCUGCAUUCUUAGUGAGCUGUCCAGGAGGUGGGAGGGUCUGGGAAGGAGGG